This 253-nucleotide ribosomal RNA is filed under the name uncultured bacterium. RNAcentral's name for it is "partial 16S ribosomal RNA". It matches the Rfam family "Bacterial small subunit ribosomal RNA", at positions 524 to 776 of the family's 1533-position model. The record is from RNAcentral.
GACGAACCGAGCGAACGUUGUUCGGAAUCACUGGGCUUAAAGGGCGCGUAGGCGGGCUGCCGCGUCCGGGGUGAAAUCCCACGGCUCAACCGUGGAACGGCCCCGGGUACGGGCGGCCUCGAGGGGGGUAGUGGCGUGCGGAACUGUGGGUGGAGCGGUGAAAUGCGUUGAUAUCCACAGGAACUCCGGUGGCGAAGGCGGCACGCUGGACCCCCACUGACGCUGAGGCGCGAAAGCCAGGGGAGCGAACGGG